AAAUUGAAGAGUUUGAUCAUGGCUCAGAUUGAACGCUGGCGGCAGGCCUAACACAUGCAAGUCGAACGGUAACAGGAAGCAGCUUGCUGCUUUGCUGACGAGUGGCGGACGGGUGAGUAAUGUCUGGGAAACUGCCUGAUGGAGGGGGAUAACUACUGGAAACGGUAGCUAAUACCGCAUAACGUCGCAAGACCAAAGAGGGGGACCUUCGGGCCUCUUGCCAUCAGAUGUGCCCAGAUGGGAUUAGCUUGUUGGUGGGGUAACGGCUCACCAAGGCGACGAUCCCUAGCUGGUCUGAGAGGAUGACCAGCCACACUGGAACUGAGACACGGUCCAGACUCCUACGGGAGGCAGCAGUGGGGAAUAUUGCACAAUGGGCGCAAGCCUGAUGCAGCCAUGCCGCGUGUAUGAAGAAGGCCUUCGGGUUGUAAAGUACUUUCAGCGGGGAGGAAGGUGUUGUGGUUAAUAACCGCAGCAAUUGACGUUACCCGCAGAAGAAGCACCGGCUAACUCCGUGCCAGCAGCCGCGGUAAUACGGAGGGUGCAAGCGUUAAUCGGAAUUACUGGGCGUAAAGCGCACGCAGGCGGUCUGUUAAGUCAGAUGUGAAAUCCCCGGGCUCAACCUGGGAACUGCAUCUGAUACUGGCAGGCUUGAGUCUCGUAGAGGGGGGUAGAAUUCCAGGUGUAGCGGUGAAAUGCGUAGAGAUCUGGAGGAAUACCGGUGGCGAAGGCGGCCCCCUGGACGAAGACUGACGCUCAGGUGCGAAAGCGUGGGGAGCAAACAGGAUUAGAUACCCUGGUAGUCCACGCCGUAAACGAUGUCGACUUGGAGGUUGUGCCCUUGAGGCGUGGCUUCCGGAGCUAACGCGUUAAGUCGACCGCCUGGGGAGUACGGCCGCAAGGUUAAAACUCAAAUGAAUUGACGGGGGCCCGCACAAGCGGUGGAGCAUGUGGUUUAAUUCGAUGCAACGCGAAGAACCUUACCUGGUCUUGACAUCCACGGAAGUUUUCAGAGAUGAGAAUGUGCCUUCGGGAACCGUGAGACAGGUGCUGCAUGGCUGUCGUCAGCUCGUGUUGUGAAAUGUUGGGUUAAGUCCCGCAACGAGCGCAACCCUUAUCCUUUGUUGCCAGCGGUUAGGCCGGGAACUCAAAGGAGACUGCCAGUGAUAAACUGGAGGAAGGUGGGGAUGACGUCAAGUCAUCAUGGCCCUUACGACCAGGGCUACACACGUGCUACAAUGGCAUAUACAAAGAGAAGCGACCUCGCGAGAGCAAGCGGACCUCAUAAAGUAUGUCGUAGUCCGGAUUGGAGUCUGCAACUCGACUCCAUGAAGUCGGAAUCGCUAGUAAUCGUGGAUCAGAAUGCCACGGUGAAUACGUUCCCGGGCCUUGUACACACCGCCCGUCACACCAUGGGAGUGGGUUGCAAAAGAAGUAGGUAGCUUAACCUUCGGGAGGGCGCUUACCACUUUGUGAUUCAUGACUGGGGUGAAGUCGUAACAAGGUAACCGUAGGGGAACCUGCGGUUGGAUCACCUCCUUA
RNAcentral lists this ribosomal RNA (1542 nucleotides) under Citrobacter koseri. RNAcentral describes it as "bacterial SSU rRNA". It matches the Rfam family "Bacterial small subunit ribosomal RNA". RNAcentral also lists the same sequence under 3 other names. Lineage: Bacteria; Pseudomonadati; Pseudomonadota; Gammaproteobacteria; Enterobacterales; Enterobacteriaceae. The record is from RNAcentral.